RNAcentral lists this ribosomal RNA (438 nucleotides) under uncultured bacterium. RNAcentral's name for it is "partial 16S ribosomal RNA". It matches the Rfam family "Bacterial small subunit ribosomal RNA", at positions 339 to 795 of the family's 1533-position model. The record is from RNAcentral.
CUACGGGUGGCUCCAGUGAGGAAUAUUGCACAAUGGGGGGAACCCUGAUGCAGCAACGCCGCGUGGAGGAUGACGCAUUUCGGUGUGUAAACUCCUUUUAUAUGUCAAGAAAAUGACGGUAGCAUAUGAAUAAGCACCGGCUAACUCCGUGCCAGCAGCCGCGGUAAUACGGAGGGUGCAAGCGUUACUCGGAAUCACUGGGCGUAAAGGACGCGUAGGCGGGUUGGAAAGUCAGGUGUGAAAUCCUACAGCUUAACUGUAGAACUGCACUUGAAACUUCUAAUCCAGAGUAUGGGAGGGGAGAUGGAAUUAGUGGUGUAGGGGUAAAAUCCGUAGAUAUCACUAGGAAUACCUAAAGCGAAGGCGAUCUCCUGGAACAUUACUGACGCUAAGGCGUGAAAGCGUGGGGAGCAAACAGGAUUAGAUACCCGCGUAGUC